AGAGUUUGAUCCUGGCUCAGAGCGAACGCUGGCGGCAGGCUUAACACAUGCAAGUCGAGCGGGCGUAGCAAUACGUCAGCGGCAGUCGGGUGAGUAACGCGUGGGAACAUACCUUUUGGUUCGGAACAACACAGGGAAACUUGUGCUAAUACCGGAUAAGCCCUUACGGGGAAAGAUUUAUCGCCGAAAGAUUGGCCCGCGUCUGAUUAGCUAGUUGGUGAGGUAACGGCUCACCAAGGCGACGAUCAGUAGCUGGUCUGAGAGGAUGAUCAGCCACAUUGGGACUGAGACACGGCCCAAACUCCUACGGGAGGCAGCAGUGGGGAAUAUUGGACAAUGGGCGCAAGCCUGAUCCAGCCAUGCCGCGUGAGUGAUGAAGGCCCUAGGGUUGUAAAGCUC
RNAcentral lists this ribosomal RNA (399 nucleotides) under uncultured bacterium. RNAcentral's name for it is "bacterial SSU rRNA". It matches the Rfam family "Bacterial small subunit ribosomal RNA", at positions 8 to 433 of the family's 1533-position model. The record is from RNAcentral.